AACGAACGCUGGCGGCAUGCCUAACACAUGCAAGUCGAACGAGACCUUCGGGUCUUUGUGCGCACGUGUGCGUAACGCGUGGGAACCUGCCCUUAGGUUCGGAAUACCUCCCCGAAAGGGAUCCUAAUACCGGUUAGUGUCAUCGGACCAAGGAUUUAUCGCUUUUGGAUGGGCCCGCGUUGGAUUCGCUAGUUGGUAGUGUACAAGCCUAUCAAGGCGAGGAUGCAUAGCUGGUCGGGGAGGAGGACAAGCUACACUUGAGAUACGACACGGUCCAGAACCGGAGGCGAGGGAGCAGUAUGGAACACUGGACAAGGAGCGAAAGCGUGAUCAAGCAACGCGGCGUAAGUGAGGAAGGGCGUAGUGUUGUAAAGCUCUUUUACCCGAGACGAUAAUGACAGUACCGGGAGAAUAAGCACCGGCUAACUACGUG
This 433-nucleotide ribosomal RNA is filed under the name uncultured bacterium. Its description in RNAcentral is "partial 16S ribosomal RNA". It matches the Rfam family "Bacterial small subunit ribosomal RNA", at positions 29 to 507 of the family's 1533-position model. The record is from RNAcentral.